Molecule: ribosomal RNA, 429 nt
Filed under: Gemmatimonadota bacterium
Lineage: Bacteria; Pseudomonadati; Gemmatimonadota
Description: Gemmatimonadetes bacterium partial 16S ribosomal RNA
Rfam family: Bacterial small subunit ribosomal RNA
Source: RNAcentral
UAGGGAAUCUUCGGCAAUGGACGAAAGUCUUACCGAGCAACGCCGCGUGAGUGAAGAAGGUUUUCGGAUCGUAAAACUCUGUUGUUAGAGAAGAACAAUGACGUUAGUAACUGAACGUCCCCUGACGGUAUCUAACCAGAAAGCCACGGCUAACUACGUGCCAGCAGCCGCGGUAAUACGUAGGUGGCAAGCGUUGUCCGGAUUUAUUGGGCGUAAAGCGAGCGCAGGCGGUUUCUUAAGUCUGAUGUGAAAGCCCCCGGCUCAACCGGGGAGGGUCAUUGGAAACUGGGAGACUUGAGUGCAGAAGAGGAGAGUGGAAUUCCAUGUGUAGCGGUGAAAUGCGUAGGUAUAUGGAGGAACACCAGUGGCGAAGGCGGCUCUCUGGUCUGUAACUGACGCUGAGGCUCGAAAGCGUGGGGAGCAAACAGG